RNAcentral lists this ribosomal RNA (301 nucleotides) under uncultured bacterium. RNAcentral describes it as "partial 16S ribosomal RNA". It matches the Rfam family "Bacterial small subunit ribosomal RNA", at positions 509 to 807 of the family's 1533-position model. The record is from RNAcentral.
CAGCAGCCGCGGGAAUACGUAGGUGGCAAGCGUUGUCCGGAAUUAUUGGGCGUAAAGCGCGCGCAGGUGGUUUAAUAAGUCUGAUGUGAAAGCCCACGGCUCAACCGUGGAGGGUCAUUGGAAACUGUUAAACUUGAGUGCAGGAGAGAAAAGUGGAAUUCCUAGUGUAGCGGUGAAAUGCGUAGAGAUUAGGAGGAACACCAGUGGCGAAGGCGGCUUUUUGGCCUGUAACUGACACUGAGGCGCGAAAGCGUGGGGAGCAAACAGGAUUAGAUACCCCAGUAGUCCCUGUCUCUUAUAC